Molecule: ribosomal RNA, 1139 nt
Filed under: Limnonectes kohchangae (Koh Chang wart frog)
Lineage: Eukaryota; Metazoa; Chordata; Amphibia; Anura; Dicroglossidae
Description: partial 16S ribosomal RNA
Rfam family: Bacterial large subunit ribosomal RNA
Source: RNAcentral
CUCAAAACAGCUAAUUGAGCCAACCCGUCUCUGUCGCAAAAGAGUGGGAUGAUUUUUAGGUAGAGGUGAAAAGCCUACCGAGCUUAGAGAUAGCUGGUUAUUCAGGAAAAGAAUUUUAGUUCAACCCUAAGCCCACCCCCUUUUAAAAAUAAAGCUACCAGGCUUAGGAGCUACUCAAAUAAGGCACAGCUUAUUUGACAAAGGAGACAACCUACAAAAAAGGGUAAAUACCCCAAAAAUAAAACAAGUGGGCCCGAAAGCAGCCACCUUUAAGAAAGCGUUAAAGCUCUGUUUAUACUAAAGACUAAUACCUAACCACACAUUAAACCCUUUAUUUCUACUGAAUGGUUCUAUAUGAUAUAGAAACCCUAAUGCUAAAACUAGUAACAAGAAAUCGGAUUUCUCCAAAAUACAAGCAUAAGUCAAAAUGGACAAGCCAUUGAUAAUUAACACGACUGAGCCAAAUAUAGUAACUAAACAAGAAAAAACUAUAAAUCCUUCUGUUAACCUCACACAAGUGUAUUUCUGGAAAGAUUAAAAGAAAGGGAAGGAACUCGGCAAAUCUUAACCCCGCCUGUUUACCAAAAACAUCGCCUCUUGAUUCUCAUAAGAGGUCCAGCCUGCCCAGUGACAAUUAAACGGCCGCGGUACCCUGACCGUGCGAAGGUAGCAUAAUCACUUGUUCUCUAAAUAAGGACUUGUAUCAACGGCAUCACGAGGGUUAUACUGUCUCCCCUUUUUAAUCAGUGAAACUGACCUUCCCGUGAAGAGGCGGGAAUAAAAAUACAAGACGAGAAGACCCCAUGGAGCUUUAAACCCAAUAGCAACCUCUAUUUUCUACAACCGUAUAAUCAAGAAGACCUGCUUAUUGGUUUUAGGUUGGGGUGACCCUGGAGUAAAACUAAACCUCCAUGACGAAUAGAUUUCAUCCUAAUCCCAGAGCCACUGCUCUAAGAAUCAAAAAUUUGACGUAAACUGAUCCGCUUAGCGAUCAACGAACCAAGUUACCCUGGGGAUAACAGCGCAAUCCAUUUCAAGAGCCCCUAUCGACAAAUGGGUUUACGACCUCGAUGUUGGAUCAGGGUAUCCCAGUGGUGCAGCCGCUACUAAUGGUUUGUUUGUUCAACAAUUAAAACCCU